CGGACGGGUGAGUAAUGUCUGGGAAACUGCCUGAUGGAGGGGGAUAACUACUGGAAACGGUAGCUAAUACCGCAUAACGUCGCAAGACCAAAGAGGGGACCUUCGGGCCUCUUGCCAUCGGAUGUGCCCAGAUGGGAUUAGCUAGUAGGUGGGGUAACGGCUCACCUAGGCGACGAUCCCUAGCUGGUCUGAGGGGAUGACCAGCCACACUGGAACUGAGACACGGUCCAG
RNAcentral lists this ribosomal RNA (231 nucleotides) under uncultured bacterium. RNAcentral describes it as "partial 16S ribosomal RNA". It matches the Rfam family "Bacterial small subunit ribosomal RNA", at positions 99 to 334 of the family's 1533-position model. The record is from RNAcentral.